UACGUAGGGUGCAAGCGUUGUCCGGAAUUAUUGGGCGUAAAGAGCUCGUAGGCGGUCUGUCGCGUCUGCUGUGAAAACUCAGGGCUUAACCCUGAGCUUGCAGUGGGUACGGGCAGACUAGAGUGCGGUAGGGGGAGACUGGAAUUCCUGGUGUAGCGGUGAAAUGCGCAGAUAUCAGGAGGAACACCGGUGGCGAAGGCGGGUCUCUGGGCCGUAACUGACGCUGGAGGAGCGAAAGCAUUGGGGAGCGAACAGG
RNAcentral lists this ribosomal RNA (256 nucleotides) under uncultured bacterium. Its description in RNAcentral is "partial 16S ribosomal RNA". It matches the Rfam family "Bacterial small subunit ribosomal RNA", at positions 524 to 776 of the family's 1533-position model. The record is from RNAcentral.